This 207-nucleotide long non-coding RNA is filed under the name Elaeis guineensis (African oil palm). Its description in RNAcentral is "long non-coding RNA (EGUI_LNC042532)". The record is from RNAcentral. Lineage: Eukaryota; Viridiplantae; Streptophyta; Magnoliopsida; Arecales; Arecaceae.
CCCCGUUAAAUCCCAAAUUUUUCCCGUCUGUUCUCCGAUCUCCACAGAAAAAUUUUUUCAAAAUUUGUUCAGAUCUUGAUUCUCCGGUUGGGGUCUCCCUCAAGCUUUUCUGAUUCUCUCUGUCUCGACAUCUCCCUCAAGCUUUCUCUCCAUCUCAACAUCUCUCUCGGGCUUUCAUCUCGAUGUCUCUCUCUCUCAAGGAUGAAC